This 87-nucleotide unclassified non-coding RNA is filed under the name Paenibacillus aquistagni. The record is from RNAcentral. Lineage: Bacteria; Bacillati; Bacillota; Bacilli; Caryophanales; Paenibacillaceae.
GCCGUCGUUGUAUGGGUUAAACCUUCGAGGUCGAACAUUUCAAACUUUAGGGUGGAAUGAAACGAUUUGAUGAGGCAUUAUCAGCGG